RNAcentral lists this ribosomal RNA (746 nucleotides) under uncultured Finegoldia sp. Its description in RNAcentral is "bacterial SSU rRNA". It matches the Rfam family "Bacterial small subunit ribosomal RNA", at positions 28 to 776 of the family's 1533-position model. Lineage: Bacteria; Bacillati; Bacillota; Tissierellia; Tissierellales; Peptoniphilaceae. The record is from RNAcentral.
GACGAACGCUGGCGGCGUGCUUAACACAUGCAAGUCGAACGGGAUUUAGUAGACAGAAGCUUCGGUGGAAGAUUACUAAUGAGAGUGGCGAACGGGUGAGUAACGCGUGAGCAACCUGCCUAUGACAGUGGGAUAGCCUCGGGAAACCGGGAUUAAUACCGCAUAAAAUCGUAGAAACACAUGUUUUAACGGUCAAAGAAUUAUCGGUCAUAGAUGGGCUCGCGUCUGAUUAGCUAGUUGGUGAGAUAACAGCCCACCAAGGCGACGAUCAGUAGCCGGUCUGAGAGGAUGAACGGCCACAUUGGAACUGAGACACGGUCCAAACUCCUACGGAAGGCAGCAGUGGGGAAUAUUGCACAAUGGGGGAAACCCUGAUGCAGCGACGCCGCGUGAACGAAGAAGGUAUUCGUAUCGUAAAGUUCUGUCCUAUGGGAAGAUAAUGACAGUACCAUAGAAGAAAGCUCCGGCUAAAUACGUGCCAGCAGCCGCGGUAAUACGUAUGGAGCGAGCGUUGUCCGGAAUUAUUGGGCGUAAAGGGUACGCAGGCGGUUUAAUAAGUCGAAUGUUAAAGAUCGGGGCUCAACCCCGUAAAGCAUUGGAAACUGAUAAACUUGAGUAGUGGAGAGGAAAGUGGAAUUCCUAGUGUAGUGGUGAAAUACGUAGAUAUUAGGAGGAAUACCAGUAGCGAAGGCGACUUUCUGGACACAAACUGACGCUGAGGUACGAAAGCGUGGGGAGCAAACAGG